AUUUCGAGAGCAGCCGUGCGUGCCAAGAAUGACCCGCGGUUUGACUUCCUGCAGUCCAGGCACCAGUACAACUCCUAUUACGAGUUCAAAAAGCACUACUUCAUGC
This is a long non-coding RNA of Cyprinus carpio (common carp), 106 nucleotides long. RefSeq lists it as uncharacterized. The transcript has 2 exons. The record is from RefSeq and is a predicted model, not a curated record. Lineage: Eukaryota; Metazoa; Chordata; Actinopteri; Cypriniformes; Cyprinidae.